RNAcentral lists this long non-coding RNA (2240 nucleotides) under Vigna radiata. RNAcentral describes it as "long non-coding RNA (VRAD_LNC009529)". Lineage: Eukaryota; Viridiplantae; Streptophyta; Magnoliopsida; Fabales; Fabaceae. The record is from RNAcentral.
UCUUGAAGAGGUUCCCAAUAUAGAGAAGCUAGUGGUACGUGGUGGUUCCUUGAAGGAGAUGUUCUGCUGUCAAAGUCCUAACAAUGAAGAUUAUAGUGGACUUCUGUUACAAUUGAAAGAAUUACGCUUAGAGUCCCUUCAAGAGUUGGUUUCCAUUGGGUUAGAGAACUCUUGGACUGAGCCCUUUGUCAGAAAUCUUGAAACCUUUGAAGUCAUUAGCUGUUCCAGUUUAAAAAACUUGGUAACAUGCAGAGAGUCUUUCUCGAAUCUGAUAUGUUUAAAAUUUGAAAACUGCGAUAGCUUGUCAUAUUUGUUCACAUCUUCAACCGCCAAAAGUUUGGCUAAACUCCAAAGAAUGAAGAUAAAAAAGUGUAAAUCAAUUGAAGAAAUAGUAUCUAAAGAAGAGGAGGAAUCAGAUAAAGAUGAAAUAAUAUUUCCGAAGCUCAAUUGUUUGAAACUUAAAUAUCUGAAAAAUCUCCGAAGGUUUUACAAAGGGAGUUUAAGUUUUCCACUGUUGGAGGAAUUGUCAAUAAGAGAUUGCGACGAUAUGGUAAGUUUAUGUCAAGGUACUCUGGAGGCAAGUAAGUUGUCUCAAGUUAUACCAUUGGAAAUUGAUCUUAGCUCUGCUAUAUGGAAGGAAUUUAUGAGCAAGGUACGUGUUUAUUUAUUCAACAUUCUGGUAGCAAACAAGAGACAUUUUCUAUCAUUACAAACAAAAAAUAUAUAUAGAAAAUCAUACAUAAAAUUUAUAAUAAACGUUUAAUCAAAUGUAUCUACAUUUCCUUUAGACCUUUUAUUUGAGAAAAAAAAAAAUGAGUCUUGCAAAAUAUUCAACUUACAGAUCAAAUAACUAAAAAAGAGAAAUAAAUAUAUAUAUAUAUAUAUAUAUAUAUAUAUAUAAAGAUUUUAUUGGUUGACAUGUGCUGAUUUCGCCAGAUUGGAAGGAGAUCGAGUGUUGAGUUCAAAGAUAGGGCAGACCUAAACGAGAUAUGGCGUCUCUCACUGCAAUUCCAGGACUUCUGUUUCAGUAACUUGGAAACCUUGGUUGUGGAUGGGUGCCAACUUUUAUCAUAUGUAAUUCCCUUCCAUGUGCUUCCUUUGUUACCUGAAUUGCAAACAUUGGAAGUUCGAAACUGUGAUUCUGUUAAAACCAUAUUUGAUGUCAAAUCUUCACAACACACAUUCACUUUUCCUCUAAAGAAAUUAGUUUUACUGAAGCUGCCAAAUCUUGAAACUAUUUGGAAUGAAGAUCCUGCUGAAAUUGUUACAGAGCCUAAUCCAACUCAUCCAGAACAAACAAAUCCUAAGGUAACAUUCCCCUGUGAUUUGCCCAAGUUCAAGCAUAGUUGUAUACAUUGCAUUCAUGAUCCAACAGCAUAAUAGUACAUGCAUUUGAGGAUUUUUUUUUCCAAGACAAUUACAUAUAUUCUUCUACUUCCAUUGAAAUUAUCAUGCAUCAAAUAUUGCUUAAAUCUUUAUAAACAAUCAUAGAAAGUUUGUUUCAUUAUUUUCUUCAAGGAGGAACCACCUCUCAUAUCAUUUCAUCUAAAAUUUUAAACUCGAAAUUGUUGUUAAGUGCAUACGGUCUGGCUUGUUCAUCUUUUUUACAUUUUUUUAAAUAAACGUUUUUUCUUUCAAAUCGACUUAUUCACACCUAUUUUUAUUUUAUAUUGAUUUGUUUAGUUUUUUACUAAUUAUCAGACUUAUAUUAGCAUGAAAGUUCACGGUUUCAAUUUUAUAUAGAGAGAAGAAUAUAUAUGACUGUGCUAACUGCUUUCACUUCGUUAUUGGUUUCUCUUUGUAGCUAAUUACACCGAACUUAGAACACCUGACAGUGGGUGAAAAUGAAUUAAAGAUAAUUGUCGAUGGGAAAUUUCAGAGAAACCUUUUACACAAGUUAAAAGUUCUCGGUCUGUGCUUUGAUAUGGAGUGUGAUGAAUUUCUGGAGUAUGGAUUUCUACAACAGUUGCCAAAUGUAAUGAAGCUUAUGGUGUGUGACAGUUCCUUCAAAGUGAUUUUCUGCUACCACAUACCUAAUAAUAGUGAAAUUCUUAUACAAUUGAAAGAAUUACGCUUGGAAUCCCUUCAAGAGUUAGUUUCCAUUGGCUUAGAAAACUCAUGGACUGAACCCUUUGUCAGAAAUCUUGAAACCUUUGAAGUCAUUAGCUGUUCCAUUUUAAAAAACUUGGUAACAUGCAGAGUGUCUUUCUCGAAUCUGAUAUGUUUAAAAGUUGAAAACU